RNAcentral lists this ribosomal RNA (497 nucleotides) under uncultured bacterium. RNAcentral describes it as "partial 16S ribosomal RNA". It matches the Rfam family "Bacterial small subunit ribosomal RNA", at positions 28 to 507 of the family's 1533-position model. The record is from RNAcentral.
GAUGAACGCUGGCGGCGUGCCUAAUACAUGCAAGUCGAGCGAGCAGACGAGGAGCUUGCUCCUCUGACGUUAGCGGCGGACGGGUGAGUAACACGUGGAUAACCUACCUAUAAGACUGGGAUAACUUCGGGAAACCGGAGCUAAUACCGGAUAAUAUAUUGAACCGCAUGGUUCAAUAGUGAAAGACGGUUUUGCUGUCACUUAUAGAUGGAUCCGCGCCGCAUUAGCUAGUUGGUAAGGUAACGGCUUACCAAGGCGACGAUGCGUAGCCGACCAGAGAGGGUGAUCGGCCACACUGGAACUGAGACACGGUCCAGACUCCUACGGGAGGCAGCAGUAGGGAAUCUUCCGCAAUGGGCGAAAGCCUGACGGAGCAACGCCGCGUGAGUGAUGAAGGUCUUCGGAUCGUAAAACUCUGUUAUUAGGGAAGAACAAAUGUGUAAGUAACUAUGCACGUCUUGACGGUACCUAAUCAGAAAGCCACGGCUAACUACGUG